Molecule: ribosomal RNA, 548 nt
Filed under: uncultured bacterium
Lineage: Bacteria
Description: bacterial SSU rRNA
Rfam family: Bacterial small subunit ribosomal RNA
Source: RNAcentral
UAGGGAAUCUUCCGCAAUGGGCGAAGGCCUGACGGAGCAACGCCGCGUGGGUGAUGAAGGUCUUCGGAUCGUAAAACUCUGUUAUUAGGGAAGAACAUAUGUGUAAGUAACUGUGCACAUCUUGACGGUACCUAAUCAGAAAGCCACGGCUAACUACGUGCCAGCAGCCGCGGUAAUACGUAGGUGGCAAGCGUUAUCCGGAAUUAUUGGGCGUAAAGCGCGCGUAGGCGGUUUUUUAAGUCUGAUGUGAAAGCCCACGGCUCAACCGUGGAGGGUCAUUGGAAACUGGAAAACUUGAGUGCAGAAGAGGAAAGUGGAAUUCCAUGUGUAGCGGUGAAAUGCGCAGAGAUAUGGAGGAACACCAGUGGCGAAGGCGACUUUCUGGUCUGUAACUGACGCUGAUGUGCGAAAGCGUGGGGAUCAAACAGGAUUAGAUACCCUGGUAGUCCACGCCGUNNCGAUGAGUGCUAAGUGUUAGGGGGUUUCCGCCCCUUAGUGCUGCAGCUAACGCAUUAAGCACUCCGCCUGGGGAGUACGACCGCAAGGNU